This 770-nucleotide ribosomal RNA is filed under the name Halomonas sp. JSM 111081. Its description in RNAcentral is "bacterial SSU rRNA". It matches the Rfam family "Bacterial small subunit ribosomal RNA", at positions 726 to 1496 of the family's 1533-position model. The record is from RNAcentral. Lineage: Bacteria; Pseudomonadati; Pseudomonadota; Gammaproteobacteria; Oceanospirillales; Halomonadaceae.
CUUCUGGACUGACACUGACACUGAGGUGCGAAAGCGUGGGUAGCAAACAGGAUUAGAUACCCUGGUAGUCCACGCCGUAAACGAUGUCGACCAGCCGUUGGGUGCCUAGCGCACUUUGUGGCGAAGUUAACGCGAUAAGUCGACCGCCUGGGGAGUACGGCCGCAAGGUUAAAACUCAAAUGAAUUGACGGGGGCCCGCACAAGCGGUGGAGCAUGUGGUUUAAUUCGAUGCAACGCGAAGAACCUUACCUACUCUUGACAUCCUGCGAACUUGUGAGAGAUCACUUGGUGCCUUCGGGAACGCAGAGACAGGUGCUGCAUGGCUGUCGUCAGCUCGUGUUGUGAAAUGUUGGGUUAAGUCCCGUAACGAGCGCAACCCUUGUCCUUAUUUGCCAGCGCGUAAUGGCGGGAACUCUAAGGAGACUGCCGGUGACAAACCGGAGGAAGGUGGGGACGACGUCAAGUCAUCAUGGCCCUUACGAGUAGGGCUACACACGUGCUACAAUGGCCGGUACAAAGGGUUGCGAGCUCGCGAGAGUCAGCUAAUCCCGAAAAGCCGGUCUCAGUCCGGAUCGGAGUCUGCAACUCGACUCCGUGAAGUCGGAAUCGCUAGUAAUCGUGAAUCAGAAUGUCACGGUGAAUACGUUCCCGGGCCUUGUACACACCGCCCGUCACACCAUGGGAGUGGACUGCACCAGAAGUGGUUAGCUUAACCUUCGGGAAAGCGAUCACCACGGUGUGGUUCAUGACUGGGGGAAGUCGUAACAAAG